Molecule: ribosomal RNA, 253 nt
Filed under: uncultured bacterium
Lineage: Bacteria
Description: partial 16S ribosomal RNA
Rfam family: Bacterial small subunit ribosomal RNA
Source: RNAcentral
CACGGGGGGUGCAAGCGUUAUUCGGAAUUAUUGGGCGUAAAGGGCGCGUAGGCGGCCGUUUAAGUCGGGUGUGAAAUCCCGGGGCUUAACCCCGGAACUGCAUCCGAUACUGGAUGGCUUGAGUAUGGGAGAGGGAAGUGGAAUUCCAGGUGUAGAGGUGAAAUUCGUAGAUAUCUGGAGGAACACCAGUGGCGAAGGCGACUUCCUGGACCAAUACUGACGCUGAGGCGCGAAGGCGUGGGGAGCAAACAGG